GAGAAGCAAGGGGCCACGAUCCAUAUGCAGCCCCAAAAUCCUUAAAAUAGUACGGGAUGGCAGACAAAUUGUAUCUGGCCAUUGGGCUCGCCUACACCCACCCCCUCACACCCUAGUCAGUCAGCAUCUGUGUCCUUAACUGAGCUCCAAGAGAAAGAAUUUGCUUCAGCCCAUGGGAGACAGAGGAAGGUGAGGAUGGUGAUGGCUGCCUUUCUUUUGAAGGAGGUGAUAGAUACAGAGAUUGGGCAAUUGCGGAUAUGUGAGUGAGGGCACCUGGGGCGACCAUCAUGAGCAAAGCACAGUGGUGAGGAGUGACAUUACAACUUAGGAACCCCACUGAAGAAAAGCGGGUUGGAGGCAGCAACUCCUCAGGGUGAGCUGGGUCACACUGCAGUAACAGACCCUCCAGGUCUCCGUGGCAACGAUCUAUUUCUCUCUGUUACACCAUGGGUCAAGUGGGGACUCUGCUGUAUGCUGUCCUGAGUCAGACUGAUGGGCCUUCUACUUCCUGGACUACCCACAUCUACUGUACGUUCAAAAAUGAGGAGUGCUUGGCUUUUAUUGGCUCUCGUCUGGGAGUGACACAUCACUAUGGUCCUGUUAUUGGCCAGAACUAGCUGCAUGGCAGCACCUUCCCGGAAGUACAACCUUCCCAUAGGCCCAGAUGGAGAGAAACUGCAGACGCUGGGGAAGGGGGCAGGGCUUAAAUAUCCCACCAGGGACCUUGGAUGAAAGCUUUAAGUGGGAGACAGACUGUUAGAAGUGGAGUUAUAAGGAAGCCGAGAAGAAUACUUACGCCCAUGCCUGGAAGUGCCUCUCCUCUUUCAGCUUUUCAGACAUGUCUUUUACAAAGAAGGUACGAUCUUCUCUGCUUUGGAAGAAAUCUGUAAUGGAUUACAAAGCCCACUCCACCGCCCACCAUUGACCUUUCAGUAUUGGAAGUUUCAGAUGGAGAGGUUACUACCAACGUGGGCUGUGUGUGCGGACACUGGAACUUCUGAGAGUUUGAAAGCUAAGUUCCAGCUUCUUCCCAAGACCUGUUUUUUGUUCUCACAAGUCUGUAACAACCGGUUCUUCACAGUACGGAUCUUGUGUUCCCACCUUGGUGCAUGGGGUUAAUAUAUUCCUUCAGGGCUCUCUCUCUUUGGUCCCUAUGCAUCUCAAAUCCUGUUUGCCCUGGGAAUUUUUAAUAAACUUUUUUAUUGUUUUCAUCCUCA
Molecule: long non-coding RNA, 1217 nt
Organism: Mus musculus (house mouse)
Lineage: Eukaryota; Metazoa; Chordata; Mammalia; Rodentia; Muridae
Product: predicted gene, 34557
Exons: 2
Source: RefSeq, a predicted model, not a curated record